GCUGGCGGCGUGCCUAAUACAUGCAAGUCGAACGAAGAGGUUUUUGUAUUCGUACGGGAGUCUCUUAGUGGCGAACGGGUGAGUAACGCGUUGGUGACCUGCCCCGAAGAGAGGGACAACAGAUCGAAAGAUCUGCUAAUACCUCAUGUGCUUAUUUUGAUUAGAUGCUUUAUAAGUAAAGGUUUCAUAGUCGAAAGGCUGCGGAGCCGCUUUGGGAGGGACCUGCGUCCCAUCAGCUAGUUGGUAGGGUAAUGGCCUACCAAGGCGACGACGGGUAGGGGGCCUGAGAGGGUGGCCCCCCACACUGGUACUGAAACACGGACCAGACACCUACGGGUGGCAGCAGUAGGGAGUAUUGCCCAAUGAGCGAAAGCUUGAGGCAGCAACGCCGCGUGCGGGAUGAAGGCUUUCGGGUCGUAAACCGCUUUUCUGAGGGAAGAGCAAGGACGGUACCUCAGGAAUAAGUCUCGGCUAACUACGUGCCAGCAGCCGCGGUAACACGUAGGAGGCAAGCGUUAUCCGGAUUAACUGGGCGUAAAGCGCGUGUAGGCGGCUUGGUAAGUUGGAUGUGAAAACUCCCGGCUCAACUGGGAGACGUCGUUCAAAACUGCCAGGCUAGAGGACGGUAGAGGGAGGUAGAAUUCCCGGUGUAGUGGUGAAAUGCGU
This 666-nucleotide ribosomal RNA is filed under the name uncultured Chloroflexaceae bacterium. RNAcentral's name for it is "bacterial SSU rRNA". It matches the Rfam family "Bacterial small subunit ribosomal RNA", at positions 35 to 691 of the family's 1533-position model. The record is from RNAcentral. Lineage: Bacteria; Bacillati; Chloroflexota; Chloroflexia; Chloroflexales; Chloroflexaceae.